UCCCUCUUGGCUCAGUUGGCAGAGCACGUCACUAGUAUAUCUUAUUCUGGAAAACCUCCUGGUUUAAGUAUGACGAAUCAGUCGUUCAAGUCGACUAGCGGGAA
Molecule: non-coding RNA, 104 nt
Organism: Armillaria nabsnona
Lineage: Eukaryota; Fungi; Basidiomycota; Agaricomycetes; Agaricales; Physalacriaceae
Source: the annotation of a GenBank genome assembly